AUUGAACGCUGGCGGCAUGCCUUAUACAUGCAAGUCGAACGGCCGCACGGGUGGUUGCCUCCGGUGGCGUGUGGCGCACGGGUGUGUAUUACAUCGGGAUAUGUUCUCUAGAGGGGUAUAGUACCGCGAAAGCCCGAUUGAUACCGCAUACGAUCUUCGUGAGCCACCGGGGGCCCUUCUGGCCUCCGGCUUUAGUGUCAGUUGUUGACUGAUCAGCGCCGCAUUAGCUAGUUGGUCUGGUAACGGCCUACCAAGGCGACGAUGAGUAGCUGAUCUGAGAGGACGAUCGGCCACACUGGAACUGAGACACGGCCCAGACUCCUACGGGAGGCAGCAGUAGGGAAUUUUGGACAAUGGGCGAAAGCCUGAUGCAGCAAUGCCGCGUGUGUGAUGAAGGCCUUCGGAUUGUAAAACACUGUUAUCCGGAAAGAAAACCUGGGCCCGAAUACGGGCGGGGGAUGACGGUACCGGAAGAAUAAGCACCGGCUAACUACGUG
RNAcentral lists this ribosomal RNA (497 nucleotides) under uncultured bacterium. Its description in RNAcentral is "partial 16S ribosomal RNA". It matches the Rfam family "Bacterial small subunit ribosomal RNA", at positions 30 to 507 of the family's 1533-position model. The record is from RNAcentral.